Molecule: long non-coding RNA, 953 nt
Organism: Clupea harengus (Atlantic herring)
Lineage: Eukaryota; Metazoa; Chordata; Actinopteri; Clupeiformes; Clupeidae
Source: Ensembl
CACCCCAUAAACAUAAUAUCAUCUGACUGAUACAUAUGAAUAUUUAAUUAAAGAAAUAUUAACAUACUUUAGAUGUAUAAGACACCACACCAAGUCCCAUAUUUUGGAUGUAUACAAUACCAUAAAUUGUGUAUUUUGUUAUGGCUCGUUAUCUCUUCAGCAGUAUGUGAAUACCUGUCAAUUACCCUUGAGGGAACACAAGGGCUGGAAUUUACACGUCAGUGCUGUGGUUGCUGCUGUCACAUUUCCCCUUGGAAACCUACGCCGAGGACUUUCCCCUCAGCGAGUACAUAUACACCAGCAUCACAGCAUGUCCAGCAUCACCUAUCAGCCUUCCCAUCUUGAAGAACACUUACGCAUCAGGAUCUGAGGACUCCAUCUGCAGCCUGAAGACAUGGCAAAGAUUACAGUCUCUCUCUGCGCACUGCUGGGGCUUCUGCUGGUCUUAGCCUCCGAGGGGGAAACCAAACUAGGUACACAAAGCAGGGCAUGCUGCGCACAAUUCAUCAAGGUUCCACUGCCUUUGGAGAGAAUCCGUGGUUUCAUCGAGGAACGCCAAGGGAUAUGUCGUCUCAAAGCAGUCAAGUUCAUCACCGUAAAGGGUAAGGUUGUAUGUGCCAAUCCAAAUGACCAGUGGGUUAAGGAUGCCAAGGAGUUCAUCAGGACCCCAACUGUGGCACCCUAACCUGAGGACACCUGUGGUGUUAAUCGGAAACUAUCUUUCUGCAUCCAAGGGAUGCUUUUGAUAACUCAAAAGAGCUUUGCUCUAUUUGUGUCCCUUGAUGAGCUUUGUAAGGGAUAUAACUGAAUGUAUACUAUGUCCAAUGACAUUUGUGAUUGUAAUUCAAAGUAUCCUAUUAGUGAUAAACAUGUGUAUAUUUCUGAGAAAUAUAAAAUUGUAACUUGCAUUGAUAUUUUUCAAUAAAGUUGUUGAGAAAAAAAAGAACAGUGUU